This 222-nucleotide ribosomal RNA is filed under the name uncultured bacterium. Its description in RNAcentral is "partial 16S ribosomal RNA". It matches the Rfam family "Bacterial small subunit ribosomal RNA", at positions 109 to 334 of the family's 1533-position model. The record is from RNAcentral.
AGUAAUACAUAGGAAUCUGCCCAGUAGCGGGGGACAACUCGGAGAGAUCCGAGCUAAUACCGCAUACGCCCUACGGGGGAAAGCAGGGGAUCUUCGGACCUUGCACUAUUGGAUGAGCCUAUGUCAGAUUAGCUUGUUGGUGGGGUAACGGCCUACCAAGGCGACGAUCUGUAGCUGGUCUGAGAGGACGAUCAGCCACACUGGGACUGAGACACGGCCCAG